AGAGUUUGAUCAUGGCUCAGAGUGAACGCUGGCGGCAGGCCUAACACAUGCAAGUCGAGCGGCAGCGCGUCCGACCACCCUCGGGUGGUCGGAUGGCGGCGAGCGGCGGACGGGUGAGGAAUGCAUCGGAAUCUGCCUCGUUGUGGGGGAUAACGUAGGGAAACUUACGCUAAUACCGCAUACGACCUACGGGUGAAAGUGGGGGACCUUCGGGCCUCACGCGAUGAGAUGAGCCGAUGCCGGAUUAGCUAGUUGGCGGGGUAAAGGCCCACCAAGGCGACGAUCCGUAGCUGGUCUGAGAGGAUGAUCAGCCACACUGGAACUGAGACACGGUCCAGACUCCUACGGGAGGCAGCAGUGGGGAAUAUUGGACAAUGGGGGCAACCCUGAUCCAGCCAUGCCGCGUGUGUGAAGAAGGCCUUCGGGUUGUAAAGCACUUUUGUUGGGGAAGAAACCGGCCGGGUUAAUACCCUGGUUGAAUGACGGUACCCAAAGAAUAAGCACCGGCUAACUUCGUGCCAGCAGCCGCGGUAAUACGAAGGGUGCAAGCGUUACUCGGAAUUACUGGGCGUAAAGCGUGCGUAGGCGGUUUGUUAAGUCUGCUGUGAAAGCCCUGGGCUCAACCUGGGAACUGCAGUGGAUACUGGCGAGCUAGAGUGUGUCAGAGGAUGGUGGAAUUCCCGGUGUAGCGGUGAAAUGCGUAGAGAUCGGGAGGAACACCAGUGGCGAAAGCGGCCAUCUGGGACAACACUGACGCUGAGG
RNAcentral lists this ribosomal RNA (762 nucleotides) under uncultured bacterium. RNAcentral's name for it is "bacterial SSU rRNA". It matches the Rfam family "Bacterial small subunit ribosomal RNA", at positions 8 to 751 of the family's 1533-position model. The record is from RNAcentral.